UUUGUUUUUCUCUCUUCCUUAUCUAAAAACACGACGACAAUAGCUCUCUCUUUUUCUCUUCUCUCUCUCUUCUCCAGCAAAACUUUUGGUUCCCGAAGAGUACUGCUGGUAGAAGACAUUGAGGCCAACCCAAUCCAAUCAAGAGUGCUACUGAUAGAAGACGAUGAGGCCAACCCAAAGAGAUUGAUCCAAGGAUUUAGCUAAAUUGACCUAGCCUUAUCCUAUACCGAAUCCUACAUUGAUUUUUCAUUAUUUUCCUUGCCGUUUCAAGUUUUGAGUUUUGAACUUCGAGACCAUUGGUCGACAUGGCCAAUUUCGCAGAGAGAAGACUUAAACCUCCAUCUCCAACAAAUGCAAACAUAAGGAGAUGAAGCAAUGAUUGAUGUUUCAGAUAAAAGAAAGGAAACUAGCUCCACAAAGCGAGAACCUUCAUAUUUUGAGAUAGUAGAGAAGACACCUCGAAAAUGUAGAAGUUGUGAUAAUACUGGCCAUUAUCGUAACAAGUGUCCAUCAAUUAACAAGUAGAUGAGUGCAUUGGAACCCAUGUUUGUUGAGAAUAUUGGCACAUAUGUUCUCUUAACUCCGGAUCAGGUUAUUCAAUUCUGAAUUUAGGCAAUACAACAUGAUAAAAAUCUGUUUGUAUUUGGUGUAAUGCAUGAUGAACAUUAGUGGCCUGGAGGAUUUUUAAAAUAUUUUUUUUUUUAUCUGGAAAUUCAUUAAAGAAAGGCAAAAGCCACAAAGGGUUUAGGGUGUUUGGAAGGAGUUUUGUUGUUUGGUUUUAGUUUCUUUUUACUAUAGUUUCUUCUUGUUCUUCCUUUGUGGCCUGGAGGAUUUAAGAAGAUGACUCAAAAUCAGUUAUCUUCUUUUUUAUCUCUCGCAGCAUAUAAGAGUUUUGUAUAUGACAUAUUAUUAUGUAAAACACAUACAUUAAUGCUCUAUGUCUUCUAUCUUGUUCUUUGGUGUGAAA
This is a long non-coding RNA of Rosa rugosa (rugosa rose), 967 nucleotides long. RefSeq lists it as uncharacterized. The transcript has 3 exons. The record is from RefSeq and is a predicted model, not a curated record. Lineage: Eukaryota; Viridiplantae; Streptophyta; Magnoliopsida; Rosales; Rosaceae.